CACCGCGGUUAUACGAGAGGCCCAAGUUGACAAAAGCCGGCGUAAAGAGUGGUUAAUAUAUAGUAUAAACUAAAGCCGAACACCUUCAAGGCCGUCAUACGUACCCGAAAGCAGGAAGACCUCCAACGAAAGUGGCUUUAACCAGAAUGAAACCACGAAAGCUAUGGCA
This 169-nucleotide ribosomal RNA is filed under the name Myersina filifer. RNAcentral's name for it is "partial 12S small subunit ribosomal RNA". Lineage: Eukaryota; Metazoa; Chordata; Actinopteri; Gobiiformes; Gobiidae. The record is from RNAcentral.